GACGAACGCUGGCGGCGUGCCUAAUACAUGCAAGUCGAACGCCGUGGGGACGGGUGAGUAACAAGUGGGUAACCUCCACAUCAGGGGGGAUAACACUUGGAAACAGGUGCUAAACCGAUAUUGCUGGCUGGACCCGCGGUGCAUUAGCUAGUUGGUGGGGUAACGGCUCACAAAGGCCACGAUGCAUAGCCGACCGGAGAGGGUGAUCGGCCACACUGGGACUGAGACACGGCCCAGACGCCGACGUGAGGCAGCAGUAGGGAAUCUUCGGCAAUGGACGAAAGUCUGACCGAGCAACGCCGCGUGAGUGAAGAAGGUUUUCGGAUCGUAAAACUCUGUUGUUAGAGAAGCGGUAUCUAACCAGAAAGCCACGGCUAACUACGUGCCAGCAGCCGCGGUAAGUC
RNAcentral lists this ribosomal RNA (404 nucleotides) under uncultured bacterium. RNAcentral's name for it is "partial 16S ribosomal RNA". It matches the Rfam family "Bacterial small subunit ribosomal RNA", at positions 28 to 526 of the family's 1533-position model. The record is from RNAcentral.